CUCGCCCUUUGGCCUCCAGUUCCAGGCUAGACUGCAGAGAUUCGAUGGCACGCUGGUGGUUCUUCCUACAAAGGUGUCCAAAAAAUUAUGCUAUUGCUUUUUAUGGCACCCAGUUUCACCUACAGCACCAUGAAGAGGGUUUCUUCAGAAUGAUGGGAUCUGUGGCCAAACCCAUGUGGAGAGCACCAACUUGUGUGAUCUUUGUAUUCUGUGUUUCCCAACCUCCAGAAUUAGGAUGCAAUGUAAGCAGAUGCGCCCAUCGUUCCUAGGCCUUGCCUUUGAUUCUUCAUCCAGCUGCCGCUUGAAG
Non-coding RNA from Python bivittatus (Burmese python), 307 nucleotides. The record is from RefSeq and is a predicted model, not a curated record. Lineage: Eukaryota; Metazoa; Chordata; Lepidosauria; Squamata; Pythonidae.